GGGUUUGACGAGUUAUUCCAUAACCUCCGUCUAGUCGGGACUCAUGAUAGAAGGAUUGUAUCACACGGUAACUGCACCAAGAGGUUCAGUAUUCCAUUCUACUGGAAUGCCACUACAUGCUGCUAGGCGUCACUGGUGGAUUGUGAGACUCAUGAGAAUUAUCUAGAUGAUCGAUAAUUCUCAUUGGGCUGAGUUGGAAUUGUUCUGAUCCAUUGAAAGGAGUUUCAGUGAUAUUAUUGAUAGUGAUCAAAAUAUAUCUCACUACCAGAUAGAAUAGAACCUAUGGGGUCACACACAUAAGAGGUUGUGAUUGAUCGGAUAGCUAGAUCGCGAUUAUUGAAUCGCCGGAGGACCUAAUUGUCAAUAUGUUGAUAAUUGGACUAAUUUGUAAUUGUUACAAAUUAGUGGUAUUAAAGUGUAAAUGUUACUAGAGAGGACUUACUAAUAGUUAGUAAAUUAUAAGAGGAC
RNAcentral lists this long non-coding RNA (468 nucleotides) under Ananas comosus (pineapple). Its description in RNAcentral is "long non-coding RNA (ACOM_LNC014036)". The record is from RNAcentral. Lineage: Eukaryota; Viridiplantae; Streptophyta; Magnoliopsida; Poales; Bromeliaceae.